CCUACGGGUGGCAGCAGUGAGGAAUAUUGGUCAAUGGACGGAAGUCUGAACCAGCCAUGCCGCGUGCAGGAAGACGGCUCUAUGAGUUGUAAACCGCUUUUGUACAGGGGGAAAACAUGAUACGUGUAUCCAGCUGCCAGUACCUUACGAAUAAGGAUCGGCUAACUCCGUGCCAGCAGCCGCGGUAAUACGGAGGAUCCGAGCGUUAUCCGGAUUUAUUGGGUUUAAAGGGUGCGUAGGCGGUUUUUUAAGUUAGUGGUAAAACGUCGGGGCUUAACCGGGAUUUGCCAUUAAUACUGUUAGACUCGAGUUCAGACGAGGUAGGCGGAAUGAGUGGUGUAGCGGUGAAAUGCUUAGAGAUCACAUAGAACACCGAUUGCGAAGGCAGCUUACCAGACUAUAACUGACGUUGAAGCACGAGAGCGUGGGGAGCAAACAGGAUUAGAUACCCCUGUAGUC
Molecule: ribosomal RNA, 459 nt
Filed under: uncultured bacterium
Lineage: Bacteria
Description: partial 16S ribosomal RNA
Rfam family: Bacterial small subunit ribosomal RNA
Source: RNAcentral